UGUGUGUGUGUGUGUGUGUGUCAGGGGGAGGAUGCAGCGUCAGACGGAGCAGACGCCGGCUCCAGUCCAAAGCAACACAAUGCAGAAGAGGAACAGAAAGCACAGAUCUCCACAGAUGUUUUGGAGAAGGAUGUCAGUGCAGCAGAUGACAGCAGGACAUUGAUGCCACCCCCAGCAGCUCCAGUGAGGAAGAGACCGAGAGAAGAGACCUGCAGCACAACACUCACACACACAGAUGAAGAGCAGCUGAUGAUGAAGAAGAGGAAGACUGCAGAAGAUCCCAGCAUCUCCUCAGGACUGGUUCCUUACGGAGGAGACUCCUCAGACGAGGAGGAGGAGCGCAUGCGCAGCGGGAAUAAGAGCUAAGCGUCUGAGCGCAGGACUGCAGCAUCACACACUUUUAUUUGAUCAAGUUUUAUUUUACACAGGACUGAUGUGAACUGUUCCUAUGGAAUAAAGAGAUAAACACACACCGCUGCUGCGUCUGGUUUAUUCAGCUCUAGAUCUGCUCGUGUGUCACGGUGUGAUGUAAGCUGGAGCAGUCAUUCCGGUGCGGAGCGUCAGCGCUCCGGGGUUAUCCAGAGCGAAACACGGCUGAACGUAGUGCAGGAAGUGACAGCUGAAGGUGUAGAGAUGCUGCCGCAGCGCUGCGUUGUAGAAGGACAGGAUCCCACGGGAAUAAUCCAGGAACACACCGAUCCGCAGCGGCUGCACCGUGAUGCGUAUGUCCGGCGUCCAGCCGCUGUGCAGGAACUCGUACUUGUGCCUGAGGAAGAGAGGAGCAGGUUCAGCUGGACACGUCUCCUCUUACACCAUGUCAUGAUGGUCACAUCGAUACGAGCAAACAUCGGAGCUUGAUUCUGGUUCAGGCAGAUCAUGAGCCAAUCACAGACUUUACCUUGUUGUGUUUCUGGAAGAGCGACUGCAUUGCACACCACAAAUAUUUAAACGUUUGAAGAGAGAUACAGUUUCAGUGCUUUAGCGGUUAGCUGUGUUUCUGCGUCUCGCACCUGGACGGUGUGAGGAUGUGUCUCAUGCACCAGGACGUGUUGUUCCCGCCCAGGUGUGAGUUACGCUGUGUGUCCUCAUACGCCACGCCCACACGAAACUCUGCGUCCUCGUCCACCUCGACCUCCCAGUAAUACUGUCCUCGGACGGGCACCAGGUCGCCCAGAACCGCCACACACCUGCGAGAGAGACGCGUCACACACCUGUCACAGGACUGGAGCGCACGCUGCUGCUCACCUGUUGAAGGUGUUGUCACUGAAGGUCAUGUGACUGAUGGGAAGAUCUUCAUCCAGGUAGAACAUGGUGAGGCCGUCGGCUGACAGAGACAGACUCGGGUGCGCCGUGUCUUCCAGCAGGUGGAAGAACGUACCUGUAAACAAACACAGACGUCACACACACACACACACACACACACACACACACACACACACCCUGACGGUCAGGAGGGUCAGGACCUGUGGUGGAGAUGUGGACGGGCUCGCUCCGGUCGCUCGGGCCGCCGAUGUUCACGGCUCUGACGUGGAGGAUGUAGAUCUUCUGCGGCUGCAGCUGCAGCAAACACUCGCAGGACGGGAUCGCCACGAUGGACCUGAGCCAGAUGGGAACGAUCAUUCUCACUGACCGAGGGGUGCCCGAAACCAGCUCAUAAAUACAGGUUUAGGAGUUUAGUUGUGUUCGCUGUUAUUCUGCUUUAGGGUUAGUGAAGGAAUCAGGACAGACUUCCUGACCACGUCUCUCUGAUGUUUGUACUAUUAUUUAAAUUAUUUUUUCUUACACUGUUAUUGUGCUACGAACUAUUUCUGAUAAACUGUGGUUGGUUCAUAUCUAAGUGGGUAACUUUAGGGUGAUAAACUUCAGUGUGAACCAGGGUUUAAUCAAAGAUCCGGGGACCCGUUCUUCUCCUGUGUCUCUAACUCUGUCAGAUGGAUUUGAUUGUUGAUGAUUUGGGAUGAUCUUGGAUUGUUUGGUUCUUCGAAGCUCAUCCUGGGGCCUGUACCAUGAUGGUAGCUGAACCAAUUCAGAGUUACAGGAUUAGUUUUGAGUUGACAAAACCAAACCUCUCCAAUCCGGCUCUGUUGGUACCAUGAUGCUGUUCAUCAACUUUCUUUGUCAAUUCAGGCUUUGAUCCCGAGUUUGUGGAGCGUGUGCACAUGAAUGUGUGACAUCACUGGCGAACAGCCAAUCACGAGCCUUGCAACACAAAGCAAGUUUGAUUUACUUCUCGCGAGAGACCCAGCGAGAUUCAAACUAAAGGUUAAAGGUUUUGCUAAAGGUUAAGAGAUUGAAGAAUAUGACAAAUUUAAAUG
Molecule: long non-coding RNA, 2315 nt
Organism: Carassius gibelio (silver crucian carp)
Lineage: Eukaryota; Metazoa; Chordata; Actinopteri; Cypriniformes; Cyprinidae
Exons: 5
Source: RefSeq, a predicted model, not a curated record